Molecule: ribosomal RNA, 264 nt
Filed under: uncultured bacterium
Lineage: Bacteria
Description: partial 16S ribosomal RNA
Rfam family: Bacterial small subunit ribosomal RNA
Source: RNAcentral
GUCCUAGCCGUAAACGAUGCAUACUAGAUGUAGGAGGGCUCAACCCUUUCUGUAUCGGAGCUAACGCGUUAAGUAUGCCACCUGGGGAGUACGCUCGCAAGGGUGAAACUCAAAAGAAUUGACGGGGGCCCCGCACAAGCAGUGGAGCAUGUGGUUUAAUUCGAUGCAACGCGAAGAACCUUACCUGGGCUCGAAAUGUAGAGGACGUGGCAAGAGAUUGUCAUUCCCGAAAGGGUCUCUAUAUAGGUGCUGCAUGGCUGUCGU